GCCAGUUUGGUAUAGUGGUUUGAGUAUUGGACUAUGACUCUGGAGACCACGGUUCGAAUCCUACUUGGCC
Molecule: transfer RNA, 70 nt
Filed under: Phrynosoma platyrhinos (Desert horned lizard)
Lineage: Eukaryota; Metazoa; Chordata; Lepidosauria; Squamata; Phrynosomatidae
Description: tRNA-OTHER
Source: RNAcentral